CAGAGUUCGUGCCCUCACGGGUAGAUCUCCCACCCUGUGUUAUUAUACCUUUGUUGCUUUGGCGGGCCGCCCUCGGCUACCGGCCCCGGCUGGUACGCGCCCGCCAGAGGACCCCAAACUCUGAAUGUUAGUGUCGUCUGAGUAAAAUAUUUAAUAUUUA
This 160-nucleotide unclassified non-coding RNA is filed under the name uncultured Helotiales. Its description in RNAcentral is "sequence contains ITS1". Lineage: Eukaryota; Fungi; Ascomycota; Leotiomycetes; Helotiales. The record is from RNAcentral.